CAGUCGCCGCGGUAAUACGGAGGGAGCUAGCGUUGUUCGGAAUUACUGGGCGUAAAGCGCACGUAGGCGGCUACUCAAGUCGGGGGUGAAAGCCCGGGGCUCAACCCCGGAACUGCCCUCGAAACUAGGUAGCUAGAAUCUUGGAGAGGUCAGUGGAAUUCCGAGUGUAGAGGUGAAAUGCGUAGAUAUCAGGAGGAACACCGGUGGCGAAGGCGGCUUCCUGGACGAUUCCUGACUCUGAAACACGAAAGCCAGGGGAGCGAAUGGGAUUAGAUACCCCCGUAGUCCCUGUCUCUUAUAA
RNAcentral lists this ribosomal RNA (301 nucleotides) under uncultured bacterium. RNAcentral's name for it is "partial 16S ribosomal RNA". It matches the Rfam family "Bacterial small subunit ribosomal RNA", at positions 509 to 809 of the family's 1533-position model. The record is from RNAcentral.